AUUGAACGCUGGCGGCAUGCCUUACACAUGCAAGUCGAACGGCAGCGCGGGGCAACCUGGCGGCGAGUGGCGAACGGGUGAGUAACAUAUCGGAACAUACCCUAGAGUGGGGAUAACGUAGCGAAAGUUACGCUAAUACCGCAUACGCACUAAGGUGGAAAGUGGGGGAUCUUCGGACCUCAUGCUCAUGGAGUGGCCGAUAUCUGAUUAGCUAGUUGGUGAGGUAAAGGCUCACCAAGGCGACGAUCAGUAGCUGGUUUGAGAGAACGACCAGCCACACUGGAACUGAGACACGGUCCAGACUCCUACGGGAGGCAGCAGUGGGGAAUAUUGGACAAUGGGGCGAACCCUACGAUCCAGCCAUGCCGCGUGUGUGAGAAGG
RNAcentral lists this ribosomal RNA (382 nucleotides) under uncultured bacterium. RNAcentral describes it as "bacterial SSU rRNA". It matches the Rfam family "Bacterial small subunit ribosomal RNA", at positions 30 to 413 of the family's 1533-position model. The record is from RNAcentral.